Molecule: long non-coding RNA, 1035 nt
Filed under: Junco hyemalis (dark-eyed junco)
Lineage: Eukaryota; Metazoa; Chordata; Aves; Passeriformes; Passerellidae
Description: lncRNA (ENSJHYG00000008730.1)
Source: RNAcentral
GGCCUGUCUGGGUAAUACAAAUGAAUUCUGUCCUGAAAAUAUUCCUUGUCUGUGUAAAAAUGAAGAACCUUUUUGCAGAUGUAAUUACUACAGAACAGGCUGGAUGGAGUACUGGUACAUGGGCCCCAAAUGUAACCACCUUUGGAACACUCUGGAUUUCAUUUUAGUGGCCACUCUUCCUGGAGUGGCCCUGGUUAUCAUAGUGGUUGUAAUAUUUUCUGCUGUCUGCUGCUUGAAAACGAAAAAAGAUGGGCAGCAGCCCAAGGCCCCAUCCAGUGGAGCACAGCAGAACCCUGCAUUCAGCACUGACACAGCUGCCAGCCCAGGGCAUGGGCACCAUCAGCCACCUGAGGAUGCCUGGGUUGGACAAAUUCCAAAAGUUGUACUGAAAAGAGAAGAUUUCAAUGAUGCCUCAAUCCCAAAUCAAAGGCAGGAUUACAGUUCCAUGUAUGAUCAGCCUCUAAGGACAGCAGAACCAGCAUCAGAUUAUUUCCCUCAGUCCCGAGCCCAGCGGGAGGAGUUUGACUAUCCCAGGAAGGAUUUGCCUUAUCCAGUUUAUCCAGAGGCCAGACAGUACCGGAGAUACUAAGAACAAGUGCUUCCUGUGUCAGAAAUGUCUUGGAAUGCUGUGUGAUCACUGGACAGUGCAGGUGCUCAGAGAGCAGUGACAGCCUGGUGGGGCACACAGGGAAUUGCCAUCCUUAUUAGAGAGCACUAAGUUAUUGCAAAGAGAAAGAAAGCACGGGGGAUAAUUGUGAAAGGAAACCUGGUGAAUCCCUGAUACUGCAGCACACAAGGCUCUGGCCCUGGCAGUGUGGUACAAACACAGCCAAGGACUUGGCUUCUCUCUGCCCCAAGAUUUACCAAAUACCCACAGACCCAUUCCCUUGUCCCUUGUCUUUUGUGCUUUGUCUUCCUUCUGUGUUGAUCCCAACAGCUGGAAUGGUUUCCCUUUAAAACUGUCCUGGUUUGCUUUGUAACUCUUUUGUAAAUGAGGAAAAUAAAUGAAGCUGUGGAAGACUGACUACCUUGCCA